This 561-nucleotide ribosomal RNA is filed under the name uncultured bacterium. RNAcentral describes it as "partial 16S ribosomal RNA". It matches the Rfam family "Bacterial small subunit ribosomal RNA", at positions 355 to 912 of the family's 1533-position model. The record is from RNAcentral.
UGGGGAAUUUUGGACAAUGGGCGAAAGCCUGAUCCAGCAAUGCCGCGUGUGUGAAGAAGGCCUUCGGGUUGUAAAGCACUUUUGUCCGGAAAGAAAUCCUUGGCUCUAAUACAGUCGGGGGAUGACGGUACCGGAAGAAUAAGCACCGGCUAACUACGUGCCAGCAGCCGCGGUAAUACGUAGGGUGCAAGCGUUAAUCGGAAUCACUGGGCGUAAAGCGUGCGCAGGCGGUUUGCUAAGACCGAUGUGAAAUCCCGGCGUCACUAGGACUGGAUGUGAUGCUGGCAGGCUAGAGUAUGGCAGAGGGGGGUAGAAUUCCACGUGUAGCAGUGAAAUGCGUAGAGAUGUGGAGGAAUACCGAUGGCGAAGGCAGCCCCCUGGGCCAAUACUGACGCUCAUGCACGAAAGCGUGGGGAGCAAAACAGGAUUAGAUACCCUGGUAGUCCACGCCCUAAACGAUGUCAACUAGUUGUUGGGGAUUCAUUUCCUUAGUAACGUAGCUAACGCGUGAAGUUGACCGCCUGGGGAGUACGGUCGCAAGAUUAAAACUCAAAUGAAUUG